Molecule: transfer RNA, 73 nt
Filed under: Zootermopsis nevadensis
Lineage: Eukaryota; Metazoa; Arthropoda; Insecta; Blattodea; Termopsidae
Rfam family: tRNA
About the family: Transfer RNA (tRNA) molecules are approximately 80 nucleotides in length. Their secondary structure includes four short double-helical elements and three loops (D, anti-codon, and T loops).
Source: Rfam by way of RNAcentral
GCCACGGUGGUCUAUUGGUUAGAACGCUGGCCUUGUAAUCCUGGGGUCUCGGGUUCGAUUCCCGGCGGUGCCC